CUCAUAGGAGACUGAAUUCCUGUGUACGGUGGAAUGCGCAGAUAUCAGAGGAACACCGAUGCGAACGGCAGGUCUCUGGGCUGUACACUGACGCUGAGGACGAAACGCAUGGGGAGCGGGGGGGAACAGGAUUAGAUACCCUGGUAGUCCAUGCCGUAAACGUUGGGCACUAGGUGUGGGGACCAUUCCACGGUUUCCGCGCCGCACUAACGCAU
RNAcentral lists this ribosomal RNA (215 nucleotides) under uncultured bacterium. Its description in RNAcentral is "partial 16S ribosomal RNA". It matches the Rfam family "Bacterial small subunit ribosomal RNA", at positions 650 to 860 of the family's 1533-position model. The record is from RNAcentral.